GCUAUCUAAAAGUACUGUGCCAUGACACCUAAAAUGAAGGGAAUGGGAAAGCAAAGUAAUGGCUCAAAGGCUGCUACCGAGAGCUUUUGUCUACCUUUAACUCAUUGUGCUUCCUUUUUAACAUAAGCAAAGUUGGACAUUCCAAAGAUGGCGUAGAUGAACAUGACCAGGAAGAGCAGGAGGCCGAUGUUAAACAAGGCGGGAAGGGACAUCAUCAGAGCAAAGAGCAGCGUGCGGAUCCCCUUCGCCCCUUUGAUCAGACGCAAGAUUCGACCAAUCCUGGCGAGACGGAUCACUCGGAACAGGGUAUCCAGGAGAGCCUUCAGGCCAGUGUUAAGAGAACUACUUAUGAGCAGAAGCUGAAUGCCAUACCAUGUCAAGAACUUACCAGAAGAAGCUAGGAAAACACUGGGAAGAGAACUCUGAAUUAGAGCUCCUGAGAUACCUAAUCCAGAGUCUGAUGCCAAGCCGACAGACUAAACCAAGUCAACAUGGUGGCUUUGAAAAUUGAAGUCAGUGAGUCAUGGAAGAACAUCUUAUCCCAAUUUUCUCCUUUGAAUUUUCAAUGUGUGAACAUGCGACUACGUACCACUAGGUUUCCAAUGACCAUGACCAUCAUGUAGACUAUAAGGCACAUGGCUUGACCAGCGACCUCCAUACAGUCCCACAUGGUUUCUAUCCACUCUCCACAUAGCACGCGGAAGACAAUCAGGAAGGAGUGGAAGAAAUCAUUCAUGUGCCAUCGUGGGAGUGUACAGUCUUCAUUGAUCUUGCAGACACAUUCUUUGUAGCUUUUACCAAAGAGCUGCAUGCCAACCACAGCAAAAAUGAAGACGAUGAUGGCCAACACCAAGGUAACAGAAUUACAUGGAGACUGUAAUGGAUGUUUCUUAUUACCAAGGAAGAUCUCAUGAAUUGCUCUGAGUGGAUGAGGAUAAAUGACUCAGCGUGAAAAGGAUGACGGAGACUGGUGGGCACUGUAGCAAAAUGGAGAAUGUAAGCUCCAUCUGAAAGAGGUGACCACUGUUCAGCUCUAAAGGAUUGUUGCCAUGCAGGAAUAUGAGCUCAGUCUUACCAGGUGUACUCAUUUUUGUGUGAAAAUGUCUUGUUUUUAAAUCUUGGCAACUAAUUCAAAGUUAAAACACUAUGCUGGUUCAGUGCAUGCCAACAACACACACACACACAUACAGGCUCACACACACAUAUACACACAAACAACUAUACAAUUCUACAUGUAUCACCUAUCUGUUUAGGUGUGGUAUGUGUGGUAUUUACGUAUGUAUAGAUACACACACACCACUUUACAAACAUGUAAAUAUAGCUCUAGAGUUUCAAAGUUGUAUAGUUGUUUAGAUAUACUUAUAUGUGUGUGUAUAUCAAAACAUGGACACAUGGGCAUAAAUGUAUGCACGUGUGUCUGUCUGUAUGUGUAUGUGCACAGACAUCCACACACACAUAUCCGUAGCUGGCUUUUUAUGGAGAUCUUUCUAUUUGAUACAGUCUCUAAUCUACUGACUUUCAAGAAAUGGCAAUUUUUCUACAAGUCAAACAAGAAUAACACAUUCUUUUUCAUGUAGACACGUUUUAGUUGUCAAGGUUAUAUUAUCUGUCAUGCAAUUUUUUUCAUCUAAACUGUACAUUUUGCCACACUAUCAUGUUUAUUGCAUUUCUGUUGAAUCUUAGAGUAUACUCU
Leopardus geoffroyi (Geoffroy's cat) is the source of this 1693-nucleotide long non-coding RNA. RefSeq lists it as uncharacterized. The transcript is spliced from 6 exons. The record is from RefSeq and is a predicted model, not a curated record. Lineage: Eukaryota; Metazoa; Chordata; Mammalia; Carnivora; Felidae.